This 473-nucleotide ribosomal RNA is filed under the name uncultured bacterium. Its description in RNAcentral is "bacterial SSU rRNA". It matches the Rfam family "Bacterial small subunit ribosomal RNA", at positions 335 to 799 of the family's 1533-position model. The record is from RNAcentral.
ACUCCUACGGGAGGCAGCAGUGGGGAAUAUUGCACAAUGGGCGCAAGCCUGAUGCAGCCAUGCCGCGUGUGUGAAGAAGGCCUUCGGGUUGUAAAGCACUUUCAGUCGUGAGGAAGGUGGUAGUGUUAAUAGCACUAUCAUUUGACGUUAGCGACAGAAGAAGCACCGGCUAACUCCGUGCCAGCAGCCGCGGUAAUACGGAGGGGUGCGAGCGUUAAUCGGAAUUACUGGGCGUAAAGCGCAUGCAGGUGGUUUGUUAAGUCAGAUGUGAAAGCCCGGGGCUCAACCUCGGAAUAGCAUUUGAAACUGGCAGACUAGAGUACUGUAGAGGGGGUAGAAUUUCAGGUGUAGCGGUGAAAUGCGUAGAGAUCUGAAGGAAUACCGGUGGCGAAGGCGGCCCCCUGGACAGAUACUGACACUCAGAUGCGAAAGCGUGGGGAGCAAACAGGAUUAGAUACCCUGGUAGGAUAGCG